GCAUAUCAAUAAGCGGAGGAAAAGAAACCAACAGGGAUUGCCCUAGUAACGGCGAGUGAAGCGGCAACAGCUCAAAUUUGAAAUCUGGCUUCGGCCCGAGUUGUAAUUUGCAGAGGAAGCUUUAGGCGCGGCACCUUCUGAGUCCCCUGGAACGGGGCGCCAUAGAGGGUGAGAGCCCCGUAUAGUUGGAUGCCUAGCCUGUGUAAAGCUCCUUCGACGAGUCGAGUAGUUUGGGAAUGCUGCUCAAAAUGGGAGGUAAAUUUCUUCUAAAGCUAAAUACCGGCCAGAGACCGAUAGCGCACAAGUAGAGUGAUCGAAAGAUGAAAAGCACUUUGAAAAGAGGGUUAAACAGCACGUGAAAUUGUUGAAAGGGAAGCGCUUGUGACCAGACUUGCGCCGGGCUGAUCAUCCGGUGUUCUCACCGGUGCACUCGGCCCGGCACAGGCCAGCAUCGGUUCUCGCGGGGGGAUAAAGGUCCCGGGAACGUAGCUCCUCCGGGAGUGUUAUAGCCCGGGGCGUAAUGCCCUCGCGGGGACCGAGGUUCGCGCAUCUGCAAGGAUGCUGGCGUAAUGGUCAUCAGCGACCCGUCUUGAAACACGGACCAAGGAGUCAAGGUUUUGCGCGAGUGUUUGGGUGUCAAACCCGCACGCGUAAUGAAAGUGAACGUAGGUGAGAGCUUCGGCGCAUCAUCGACCGAUCCUGAUGUUUUCGGAUGGAUUUGAGUAGGAGCGUUAAGCCUUGGACCCGAAAGAUGGUGAACUAUGCUUGGAUAGGGUGAAGCCAGAGGAAACUCUGGUGGAGGCUCGCAGCGGUUCUGACGUGCAAAUCGAUCGUCAAAUCUGAGCAUGGGGGCGAAAGACUAAUCGAACCAUCUAGUAGCUGGUUACCGCCGA
This 893-nucleotide ribosomal RNA is filed under the name Xanthiomyces spinosus. Its description in RNAcentral is "LSU rRNA". It matches the Rfam family "Eukaryotic large subunit ribosomal RNA", at positions 38 to 964 of the family's 3401-position model. The record is from RNAcentral. Lineage: Eukaryota; Fungi; Ascomycota; Sordariomycetes; Sordariales; Chaetomiaceae.